RNAcentral lists this transfer RNA (74 nucleotides) under Gemmataceae bacterium. Its description in RNAcentral is "tRNA-Arg". It matches the Rfam family "tRNA". Rfam says of the family: Transfer RNA (tRNA) molecules are approximately 80 nucleotides in length. Their secondary structure includes four short double-helical elements and three loops (D, anti-codon, and T loops). Lineage: Bacteria; Pseudomonadati; Planctomycetota; Planctomycetia; Gemmatales; Gemmataceae. The record is from RNAcentral.
GCACCUGUAGCUCAAUUGGAUAGAGCAUCGGUCUACGGAACCGAAGGUUACUGGUUCGAAUCCAGUCAGGUGUA